AUAUGAGGAGUUGGGUACUUGAGCGGCGAAAAUGAAAAGAUAAAGAAUAGAGGUGUUAGGAAGAAAAUUUCCCCCCCAAAUUUUUUUUCCUUUCCCGCUCAAAAUUCUCCAAAAAAAAAAUUUCACACUUACAUUUUCAUUUCCCACACAAAAGUUUCAUUUCUCACACAAAGUUUUUACUCACAAAACUCUCAUUUUCUCUCUAUCUCUGACACGGCCUCUCACAUUCACAUUCACACACACACACAACCCCGCCGGCGCCGACGAGAAGAGCCCAAUCCAGCCCAGCGACGACGCCGACGAGACCGAGCCCAGCCAUCGACCACUCCCUCAUUGAAAGAGAGAAAUGGCAUCUAGGGAUGAUUGCACUGAGAGAUGGUGUGUGAUGACAGGAGGUCGUGGUUUUGCUGCUCGUCAUUUGGUUGAAAAGCUCAUCUCAUAUAACAUGUUCCUCGUCCGAAUUGCCGAUAUGGGCCCCACCAUUAACCUUGACCCUCAUGUGGAGAAUGGAACUCUCGGCCAAGCCUUGCGCUCUGCUCAAGCUGUUUAUGUCUCGGCCAACCCUCAUAAGGCAUGAGAGAGUGAGGGAGCUGAGCAAAAGGUACGGAUGGGACAAGAAAGGAGCAAUGAAGGUGUUUGGAGAAUGGUCGGAUCGCAUGGGUUUGGGGGCCAUGCCCGCAUACUUUGGGGUCCACACUCUCACUCUGGCGCUCUGCUUGCCUUACGCUGUUCUCAUGGAGGCCACCGCUUCUCUAAUCUUCGACUUAUUCCAUUUAAAUGGUCUGGAGCUGUCUCCAUGUGAAGGCCAAUUGAAAGGUAUUGUCCU
Long non-coding RNA from Quercus robur (English oak), 826 nucleotides. RefSeq lists it as uncharacterized. NCBI's taxonomy places the organism in Eukaryota, Viridiplantae, Streptophyta, Magnoliopsida, Fagales, Fagaceae. The transcript is spliced from 4 exons. The record is from RefSeq and is a predicted model, not a curated record.